Non-coding RNA from Ceratotherium simum simum (southern white rhinoceros), 306 nucleotides. The record is from RefSeq and is a predicted model, not a curated record. NCBI's taxonomy places the organism in Eukaryota, Metazoa, Chordata, Mammalia, Perissodactyla, Rhinocerotidae.
GGUCCUCAAGAACAUAAGGUUUUAUUUAUUCUUAAAGAUUAAAAGGUCAAGUGAUCCGUAUUUAUUGCUAGAAUUAUGCACGGGCUGAUGCAGCAAAUGGAACAAAGACUUGGUGGAAAAACCCUACUUUUCCAUCAUUUUCCCCCUUCAGCCGAACACCUAUUUGUAGUGGACAAACACAUACUGAACACAUACUAUGGUCCUACCAGGCACUUUGACAGGCACUGAGGACAGGAAAAUAAAAAAGAAAAGUGGCCUGGUAUCUGCCCUCCACAGAGUUUAGUAGAGACUAAGGGGAUUAAAUAU